Molecule: transfer RNA, 70 nt
Filed under: Troides aeacus
Lineage: Eukaryota; Metazoa; Arthropoda; Insecta; Lepidoptera; Papilionidae
Description: tRNA-Leu
Source: RNAcentral
ACUAUUUUGGCAGAGAAAAUGUAGUGAUUUUAGAAGUCAUGAAUAUAUAUUUUUAAAUAUAUAUAUAGUA